Molecule: unclassified non-coding RNA, 345 nt
Filed under: soil metagenome
Description: partial contains 5.8S ribosomal RNA, internal transcribed spacer 2, and large subunit ribosomal RNA
Rfam family: 5.8S ribosomal RNA (bases 1-120)
Source: RNAcentral
GAUGAAGAACGUAGUGAAAUGCGAUACGUAAUGUGAAUUGCAGAAUUCAGUGAAACAUCGAGUCUUUGAACGCACAUUGCGCCCCCUGGUAUUCCGGGGGGCAUGCCUGUCCGAGCGUCAUUGCUGCCCUCAAGCACGGCUUGUGUGUUGGGCCUCCGUCCUCCUCCCGGGGGACGGGCCCGAAAGGCAGCGGCGGCACCGCGUCCGGUCCUCGAGCGUAUGGGGCUUCGUCACCCGCUCUUGUAGGCCCGGCCGGCGCUUGCCGACACAUCAAUCUUUUUUCCAGGUUGACCUCGGAUCAGGUAGGGAUACCCGCUGAACUUAAGCAUAUCAAUAAGCGGAGGA